GUCCACGCCGGGCGUGCUCCAGGGUUCCCGGCUGUUGAACCCCCGGCUCCGGUGUCUUGUUAGUGUCGCGAGUUUAGGCUGGCGGAAUCGAGGACUGGUGUAGUUCUCUGGCUUUAACAGCGGCCACCGUUGCAUUACUCUUCAGGGACCUUUCGCCGUCUCAUAUCUUAGGCAACUGAUACCAGCGUGCCGCACCGGGCCGGUUUUCCGGGUGAGAAAGCUGAGGAAUCGGAGGACUUGCUUCGGGUGACGGUGACUGUUACCAGCCCUGCCCGGCAUCUCUGUCAUCUCUGCUUUUUCAAAGGGCUCUGUGGUUGGAUUUGAGGCUCCCCCGGCUCCCCAGAGCUGCCUGUUUAGUAGGAGUUGUAGGGUACCAGAUCUCAAAAUGUCCAGUUUGAUACGAACAAGGAAUACAGAAGGCUCGAAGAACAGGAAUUCGUUAGAAGAGUUGAGUGGCUUUCGGAGUGGACAUAGCAAAUUCCCUGAACAGGCCUGUUGGAAAAUGGGGCUUUUGCCAACAGUUUAGUGGUCUGCUGAAGGAGAACCUAUCACAUUCCUGUUUUCUAAGCCCAAGCUGGUCUCACAACUGGAGCAAGGUGAAGAGCUGUGGAUUCCUGAUGCCCCAAGAUCUCCUGAUCUGGCGCUUAUUCCAAUCUGUUCUGCAGGGUUGCAUGGUGACUAAAUGGGGUUUCCGGGACUCAGGCCACUGCUCUUCUUGCCCACUCAGCGUCUCUCCCACGUCCUCUACAGCGUGGGAGAUCAGACAGCAGAUUCGUGGGUGCUUGAGUCACCAGGGAAUUGUCUGGGAGCAGAAUAUAUGAAGCAGAAGGAUAACAGGUAGUAUGAGUCUGGGAAAAAUACCUUUUUAGAGUUUCCUCAUCACCCUAACGUGGCUUCGUCCUAUUUUCUAUGGUUUUCAUCUUCCACUCCUUAGUGUCUCAUUGGAGCCUCUGCUCUGCCUUGUGGGUGAUGUUGGAGGUGGAGAAGGUGGCCCUCCUGCUCAUGUUUCCACCCUCAGAAUGACCUGAGCUGUGCAGCUCCAGGUCCCUCAUUUGUGUCAGGCGGUCAACGUGUCCUCUCUGCACUCCUCUCGGCCCUCCUGUCCGCGCUCUUGUCCACGCUCCUCCCUGCGCUCCUCUCCGCAUUCCUGUCCGUGCUCCACCCUGCGCUCCUCCCUGCCCUCCUCUCUGCGCUCCACCCAACCUUCAACUUCCAGUGAAGAAGCAGGAUAUUCUGAACUUCAGUGAUACACGGGAUGCGAGUUUCAGAAUACUUUUUGCACUCUGCCCUUUCUUCACUGGUGGAAUUUCCUGCCUACGUUUUCCACGUGGACAUGUUCACAGGGGUCAGUGUUUUCUCUCCAACCAGACAGCAAGUGCUAUCUUGGCAAAAUCGCCACCCAUAUUCCCUGGACAGUCACCACCGUGCCAAACAGAGCGAUGGGCACAAAGAAAAUUCACAGAAAAUUCACAGUGAAUGCUGGCAAAUUUGAAAAAGUGUUGGGAAUAUAAAAACUUAUCUCAUUCAUUUGUUCUGCAG
Long non-coding RNA from Lemur catta (Ring-tailed lemur), 1539 nucleotides. RefSeq lists it as uncharacterized. The record is from RefSeq and is a predicted model, not a curated record. The transcript is spliced from 5 exons. NCBI's taxonomy places the organism in Eukaryota, Metazoa, Chordata, Mammalia, Primates, Lemuridae.